RNAcentral lists this long non-coding RNA (763 nucleotides) under Fragaria vesca (wild strawberry). RNAcentral's name for it is "long non-coding RNA (FVES_LNC002727)". The record is from RNAcentral. Lineage: Eukaryota; Viridiplantae; Streptophyta; Magnoliopsida; Rosales; Rosaceae.
AUAUUGUAAACUUGCAAAAUGUCUUGUGUGUUAUUUUUCUCGCUAUCUACCGCGUGUAAAAUCUUAAAAAGUAUGUGAUUAUUGAUAGUUAAUUUUGCAUGCUUAAGGGGGAUCGAUAGAAGUGAUUAUCUACCAUGUUUUCUUUUUGAUAACAUAAAUGUUGUCUUUAGUAAUUUAAUUUUUGUCAGUUUAUGAAAAUAAUGACUAGAAAAAACAGAAAGAGGGAGUAUAAAUUACAUAUGGAGAGCGUAAAUUUUACUUCCCCGCAUGCUUAAAUUGUUACUUCUAUUACAAAUUUCAUGAAACAUAGUUUUGUACAUCCAUAACUUAGCUGAAUUCAAGUUUUAUAUACAGAUCCCUAGCUUAUAUUCAAAUGGCUUCAAUCACUUGUGAUACCUAACUAAACGUUUGCAUCGAUCAUCAUACAGUAAUGAGAUAUGAGAUUAUCAUUACUUGCCGGCCAUCUCUAUCUUCCGAGAGUGACAGGUAGGGCACAGUAGGGAAGAAGGAAAUACAGUAAUAAAUUUCUACAUCAAAUGUAGCUAGAGAGGGAGAUGGUCCUUAUUUUGCUGAUGCUGUCUUAUAUAGUUUUCCAGGCUUUUCUGUGAACCUUAUGCAAACCCGAUGAGCUAAGGCAUGCAAUACUGGUCCCCUUUUUCUCUGUGUUUUAUACUCUUUUUGGUUCAUGCUUGAUGCCUACCUUACAGCACAGUCACACAUGACUUGCAGCUUCACACACAGCACAGCACAGAGAGAGAGAGAG